RNAcentral lists this unclassified non-coding RNA (611 nucleotides) under Hevea brasiliensis (rubber tree). Lineage: Eukaryota; Viridiplantae; Streptophyta; Magnoliopsida; Malpighiales; Euphorbiaceae. The record is from RNAcentral.
CUUGAGGAGAAGGGGCUUCAUGGGGGACAAGGUUUUAAAAAUAUCCUGUGAUAGAGUUAGGUACAAUGACUGUAAUAGAAUGGGAAACAGAAUCUGAUAUUGAAAAUAUGGCAAGAAUGCCUUCACAAAGUAAAAGUACUACAAGUUCUCUCCUUUUCUUCUACUACUCAAUAGGCACAAGGCCAAUACAAGAAAAUAACUAAAAAAUCCCUGGAGAAUGGACUUCCGAACUAGCUACUGCUAGCCCCUGCCAAUGCUGCACAAUUAAAGAAAUUCCUCUCCUCCUCUCUUGUUAUUUGCCUAUUUAUAACAGAAGAAAGGUUUACUCCCUCUGCUGUCAUUCUCCAUGUGAGUUCUUCCGCAUUUCCCUCUAACAGCUCAACUAAUCCCAGUUGUUGAAUUCUGGAACCUUCCCCUUCAUUUCCAUUUGCUGAUUAACUCCUAUCUUCGGUUCUUCUUGAAAUAUCUUCUGUAAUAGACUUUUAAUUGUUUUGGGCCAUGAACUUCACUUCCUGUGUCUUUAGCCGAGUACCUAUCAGCCUGCUGUGUAUCUAAGACGAACAGUGUUGUAUCACUUUGUAACAGGAAAAAAAUGGCUGUUUUAGGACAUU